Molecule: ribosomal RNA, 253 nt
Filed under: uncultured bacterium
Lineage: Bacteria
Description: partial 16S ribosomal RNA
Rfam family: Archaeal small subunit ribosomal RNA
Source: RNAcentral
UUCCAGCACCCCGAGUGGUCGGGACGAUUAUUGGGCCUAAAGCAUCCGUAGCCGGCCUUACAAGUCCUCCGUUAAAUCCAGCUGCUUAACAGAUGGGCUGCGGAGGAUACUAUAAGACUAGGAGGCAGGAGAGGCAAGCGGUACUCAGUGGGUAGGGGUAAAAUCCGUUGAUCCAUUGAAGACCACCAGUGGCGAAGGCGGCUUGCCAGAAUGCGCUCGACGGUGAGGGAUGAAAGCUGGGGGAGCAAACCGG